GACGAACGCUGGCGGCGUGCUUAACACAUGCAAGUCGAACGGAAAGGCCCUGCUUUUGUGGGGUGCUCGAGUGGCGAACGGGUGAGUAACACGUGAGUAACCUGCCCAUGACUUUGGGAUAACUUCAGGAAACUGGGGCUAAUACCGGAUAGGAGCUCCUGCUGCAUGGUGGGGGUUGGAAAGUUUCGGCGGUUGGGGAUGGACUCGCGGCUUAUCAGCUUGUGGGUGGGGUAGUGGCUUACCAAGGCUUUGACGGGUAGCCGGCCUGAGAGGGUGACCGGCCACAUUGGGACUGAGAUACGGCCCAGACUCCUACGGGAGGCAGCAGUGGGGAAUAUUGCACAAUGGGCGGAAGCCUGAUGCAGCAACGCCGCGUGCGGGAUGACGGCCUUCGGGUUGUAAACCGCUUUCGCCUGUGACGAAGCGUGAGUGACGGUAAUGGGUAAAGAAGCACCGGCUAACUACGUG
RNAcentral lists this ribosomal RNA (468 nucleotides) under uncultured bacterium. RNAcentral's name for it is "partial 16S ribosomal RNA". It matches the Rfam family "Bacterial small subunit ribosomal RNA", at positions 28 to 507 of the family's 1533-position model. The record is from RNAcentral.